UUGAAAUUGCAAGAAAAAGGUUGUUUGUCCUAAACGGUGAAAGGAUUUUGGGAAUUUAAAUUUUGUAUUGUUCCUUGUUGCUGAGGAGGUUUUUCAGCCUCUUCCCUCCCAAACUCGAAACCCUAGUGAUUCCCUUCUAUAUAUAUAGUUGCCUAGGGGAUUUUUUUUGGAGAGUUGGAAAAAUUUUCAGAGCAAACACAGAGGAGAGCUUUGAGCAAAAUACUUUAAUACACUCUAAAUACGUUUCAUAAGCAAAAGAGAUAAUAGUUUCGGUUCUGUAUUUAAGUUUCUGCCCGGAUUUUUAUUUGGCCGUUUGUGUCCGAGUUCUUGCGGUGAAGGUCGUUGCCCCUGCCCGUUUGUUUCAGCUCGCUGCACACAAGUAGGUAAACUCCAUUUUAUUUUUAUUUCCAACUCUUUAGCCGAUGCACUAUUGCGAUGUCAGUGGUGGCUGUUUGUUAAUUUGUCUUUCUUCUUCCUUUCUCGGCUUUUGUUGUUGCUCGGAUGAGUCUUAGAAUUCCUCUUUUGAGUCAGCUAUCAUGUUAAGGGUUUAUUUUGUCAUAAUGAAGUCUCUAGUGUCAUCACUUCGCUAACGUUUAGAAUUUUUGCAUUAUUGAUGGAUAUUGCAUUUGGUCGUUAUUGUUGAGUUGGGCUGCUAGCAUUUGCUUGUAAUCCUAAGUGUUUGGUUUGCUGUUAAUGGCAAUAAUGAGGUAAUUUCAGCUUAAAGUUCAUGCUUGGCUUAGUGUGGUUUUAUUUCGAUUUGAACAGUAAAUGGGCAUGUUAUUCUUAGACCUGCAAUUUCAUUAGCUUAUUCCCGUGGUUUCGAGCAUUGUUAAUUUUGUUGUAUUGCCUGAGAUGCGUUGCAUUCUUAUUGGCUGUCUCUAUUGACGUUUUAAAAUUACCCAAGAGUAGUUCUGCACUGCCUUUGUUUGGCUUGCCUUAACUCCAACUUGUUUAGGAUCAGUGUACUUUUCUGUCUCUGAGAUACAUGUUUUGGAGCCUAUAUAAUUUUUGGUGUUGACCAUUUUGCUUAUUCUGUCCAAUAAUAUUAUUUUGUCCCGUAUUGUUAGAUAUUAGUUAUCAUUCUUAGUUCAUUAGCGUUUCAUUUAAUUAUCAGUUACAGUCAUUCUAAUUUUCUUUCCUCUUUCGUUCCAUGUGAAAUUGGCCCGAGUUCAUAUCCUCUCCCUUGCAUUUUCGAGAGAGCCAUAAAGGCUCAAAUUCCUCCUAUCGAGUCAGUCGACAGAAAAAUUUGAAGAACCGGCCAUUAAAAAUUGACAAACAAGUCCCGAGGUUGAAGGAGCAACCGAUUGAGAAAUUUGAAAAGAUUGGGCCAAAGGCCCACUCUUAAUUCAUAAUAGUUGUAUUUUGUUAUUUUGGGCCUAAGCCCUUGUCAUUUUAAUUGUUAUUGUUGUAUUAGUUUAGGACAGGUGGAAGAAUUGAGACUAAGGUCCAAAAGAUAGAAAAUACUUCUAUUAUGCUAGAAUAGGACAGGUACAAAUGACUUAAAUGGGCCGAAGGCCCAAAACGAAAAUGGGCCCAAAUACUGGUUCAGGCGGACAGAAACCAGAUUUGGGUCCAACCCUCUUUACUUUACUGUGUUUGUUUUGCUUGUUAGUAUUUGUCGUUAAUCUUAGGGUUGAAAAGUUCAAAUCCCCGUUAAGACGCCCGUUGUGUUUUAUCAAUUUAGCUAAAAUCGAUCAUCCUCAACAAGACUUAAAGAAUAAAUGUUGCAAAAAUUAGCUCACUUAGACAAUAUUUAAGUACUUCCCUUUUCCCCCUUAAAAUAGUUCUAACUAUAAAACAACUUAAUUUUGUAAGUCAAACUAAUUUAAAAUUAUUUUAGCCAAAUAAAUUAAUUGUCGGAUAACCGCAUUAGCGGAUAUUUUAGGUGCUUUAAAAACUUUCCUAGAAUAUUAAUAGGAACCUCGAAC
RNAcentral lists this long non-coding RNA (1928 nucleotides) under Solanum tuberosum (potato). RNAcentral describes it as "long non-coding RNA (STUB_LNC011824)". The record is from RNAcentral. Lineage: Eukaryota; Viridiplantae; Streptophyta; Magnoliopsida; Solanales; Solanaceae.